CCUACGGGAGUCAGCAGUGGGGAAUCUUGCACAAUGGGGGAAACCCUGAUGCAGCAACGCCGCGUGAGUGAAGAAGUAAUUCGUUAUGUAAAGCUCUAUCAGCAGGGAAGAAAAUGACGGUACCUGCGUAAGAAGCACCGGCUAACUACGUGCCAGCAGCCGCGGUAAUACGUAGGGGGCAAGAGUUAUCCGGAUUUACUGGGUGGAAAGGGCGCGUAGACGGCAGUGCAAGUAUGGAGUGAAAGGCAGGGGCUCAACCCCCGGACUGCUCUGGAAACUGUAUGGCUGGAGUGCAGGAGAGGCAAGUGGAAUUCCUAGUGUAGCGGUGAAAUGCGUAGAUAUUAGGAGGAACACCAGUGGCGAAGGCGGUCUACUGGACUGCAACUGACGUUGAGGCGCGAAAGCGUGGGGAGCAAACAGGAUUAGAUACCCCAGUAGUC
RNAcentral lists this ribosomal RNA (440 nucleotides) under uncultured bacterium. RNAcentral's name for it is "partial 16S ribosomal RNA". It matches the Rfam family "Bacterial small subunit ribosomal RNA", at positions 338 to 795 of the family's 1533-position model. The record is from RNAcentral.